GACGAACGCUGGCGGCGUGCUUAACACAUGCAAGUCGAACGGUGAACGCGGGUGCUUGCUCCCUCUUGCUCAGUCUCGAACGGCUGAGUAACACGUGACCCAUCUGCCCCGAACUCCGGGCUAAGCUUUGGACACGACGUCUUAUACCGGAUACGCCGCGGGAGGGCAUCCUCUCCGCGUUGAAAGAACUGCGGUUCGGGAUGAGCUCGCGGCCUCUCGGCUUGUUGUUGCGGUUAGGUCUCAUCAAGGCGACGCCGGGUAGCCGCCCUGAGCGGGGGACCGGCCAGACGGGGACUGAGACAAGGCCCGGACUCCGAGGGGAGGAAGGAGUGGGGAAUAGUGGACAAUGGGAGCAAGGCUGAGGCAGCAACGCCGCGUGAGGGAUGACGGCCUUCGGGUGGUAGAGCGGAUUUAGCAGGGAAGAAGCGAAAGUGACGGUACCGGCAGAAAAAGCACCGGCUAACUACGUG
Molecule: ribosomal RNA, 470 nt
Filed under: uncultured bacterium
Lineage: Bacteria
Description: partial 16S ribosomal RNA
Rfam family: Bacterial small subunit ribosomal RNA
Source: RNAcentral